This 253-nucleotide ribosomal RNA is filed under the name uncultured bacterium. RNAcentral describes it as "partial 16S ribosomal RNA". It matches the Rfam family "Bacterial small subunit ribosomal RNA", at positions 524 to 776 of the family's 1533-position model. The record is from RNAcentral.
GACGGAGGAUGCAAGUGUUAUCCGGAAUCACUGGGCGUAAAGCGUGUGUAGGUGGUUCGAAAAGUCCACUGUUAAAAAUUGAGGCUUAACCUCAAAGAUGCCGUGGAAACUUUCAAACUAGAGUAUGGUAGGGGUAGAGGGAAUUUCCAGUGGAGCGGUGAAAUGCGUAGAUAUUGGAAAGACCACCGAUGGCGAAGGCACUCUACUGGGCCAUUACUGACGCUGAGGCGCGAAAGCUAGGGGAGCAAACGGG